This 466-nucleotide ribosomal RNA is filed under the name uncultured bacterium. Its description in RNAcentral is "partial 16S ribosomal RNA". It matches the Rfam family "Bacterial small subunit ribosomal RNA", at positions 330 to 795 of the family's 1533-position model. The record is from RNAcentral.
CCCAGACUCCUACGGGAGGCAGCAGUGGGGAAUAUUGCACAAUGGGGGAAACCCUGAUGCAGCGACGCCGCGUGAGUGAAGAAGUAUUUCGGUAUGUAAAGCUCUAUCAGCAGGGAAGAAAAACCGACCAUAGGGUCGCUAGACGGUACCUGAUUAAGAAGCCCCGGCUAACUACGUGCCAGCAGCCGCGGUAAUACGUAGGGGGCAAGCGUUAUCCGGAUUUACUGGGUGUAAAGGGAGCGUAGACGGCAGCGCAAGUCUGAAGUGAAAUGCCGGGGCUUAACCCCGGGACUGCAUUUGGAACUGUGCUGCUAGAGUGUCGGAGAGGCAGGCGGAAUUCCUAGUGUAGCGGUGAAAUGCGUAGAUAUUAGGAGGAACACCAGUGGCGAAGGCGGCCUGCUGGACGAUGACUGACGUUGAGGCUCGAAAGCGUGGGGAGCAAACAGGAUUAGAUACCCUUGUAACA